Molecule: ribosomal RNA, 517 nt
Filed under: uncultured bacterium
Lineage: Bacteria
Description: bacterial SSU rRNA
Rfam family: Bacterial small subunit ribosomal RNA
Source: RNAcentral
AACGCGAAGAACCUUACCAAGGCUUGACAUGUCGGAAGUAGUAACCUGAAAGGGGAACCACCUGUUAAGUCAGGAGCCGACACAGGUGCUGCAUGGCUGUCGUCAGCUCGUGCCGUGAGGUGUUCGGUUAAGUCCUGCAACGAGCGCAACCCUCGUCGCCAGUUGAAUUCUCUGGCGAGACUGCCCUACAAAAUGGGGAGGAAGGUGGGGAUGACGUCAAGUCAGCACGGCCCUUAUGCCUUGGGCUACACACACGCUACAAUGGGUGGUACAAUGGGUAGCAAUAGAGCAAUCUGGAGCCAAUCCUGUAAAGCCAUCCUCAGUUCGGAUUGCAGGCUGAAACCCGCCUGCAUGAAGUCGGAGUUGCUAGUAACCGCAGGUCAGCAUACUGCGGUGAAUACGUUCUCGGGCCUUGUACACACCGCCCGUCACGUCAUGAAAGUUGGCAACACCUGAAGUCGAUGGGCUAACCCCGACUUGUCGGGGAGGCAGUCGCCGGGGGUGGGGUUAAUGAUUG